Molecule: ribosomal RNA, 245 nt
Filed under: bacterium
Lineage: Bacteria
Description: partial 16S rRNA
Rfam family: Bacterial small subunit ribosomal RNA
Source: RNAcentral
GACAAACGCUGGCGGCGUGUAUUAGGCAUGCAAGUCGAGCGAGAAGCCGGCCUUCGGGCUGGUGGAGAGCGGCGGACGGGUGAGUAACACGUGGAUGACCUGCCCUCGGGAGGGGGACAACCCUGGGAAACCGGGGCUAAUACCGCAUACGCCGGGCACCGCGAGGUGUCGGGGAAAGCGCAUGCGCCCGGGGAGGGGUUCGCGGACGAUUAGCUGGUUGGUGAGGUAAGGGCUCACCAAGGCCA